Mastomys coucha (southern multimammate mouse) is the source of this 397-nucleotide long non-coding RNA. RefSeq lists it as uncharacterized. Lineage: Eukaryota; Metazoa; Chordata; Mammalia; Rodentia; Muridae. The transcript has 3 exons. The record is from RefSeq and is a predicted model, not a curated record.
CUAGUAUCUGUAGCAGUCAUCUGCUCCUGAAGUGUCACGCAGUGGAAUUCAGGGACAGGUGAACUGGAACUCCCAGCCUGGUUUCUACAUGGACUGACACAGUAAACUACUAAUAUAGACAAUGCCUCUGUGGAAGAGAAACGACCUCAAUUCGUUGAUAUGAAGAAGGAAUACAUUUGCCUGUCCAGUGGAAUAAGAGGAAGAAUCUUUUGGAGAAAGAGCUUCAGUGGAAGAAGUGGAUCACUGAUGGGAGUCUUUGAGAUUCGUAACCUAAAACCAUUUCCUGCCCCGUCUCAGCUCCCUGACCCACUCAGAUGUGAGCAAGAAGCCUCUCGCUCCUACUGCCACCACUGUGAGCCUCCACACCUAACCUAAAGAAGUUCAUCACCUCAACUAU